UCCGUAGGUGAACCUGCGGAAGGAUCAUUGUCGAAACCUGCACAGCAGAACGACCCGCGAACGUGUUAAAACGACGGCGGGGCGCUCGCGCGCCCCCGCCAUCAGGGGGAAGCGCGCGCCGAUCCCCUCACGGGGGGAGGCGGUCGCUCUCCCUGCAAAACAACGAACCCCGGCGCGAACCGCGCCAAGGAACAUGAACGAGAGAGCGAGCCCGCGAAGCCCCGUCCGCGGGCGCGAUCGCGGGGUGGCAUCUUCCUCUACAUAAACAGAACGACUCUCGACAACGGAUAUCUCGGCUCUCGCAUCGAUGAAGAACGUAGUGAAAUGCGAUACUUGGUGUGAAUUGCAGAAUCCCGUGAACCAUCGAGUCUUUGAACGCAAGUUGCGCCCGAAGCCGUUAGGCCGAGGGCACGUCUGCCUGGGCGUCUCACAUCGCGUCGCCCCCCCACACGCACCCCGGGUGCUGUCGGGGGGCGGACAAUGGCCCCCCGUGCGCCGCAGGCUCGCGGUCGGCCCAAAAAACGAGUCGCCGGCGACGACUGACGUCACGACAAGUGGUGGUAGAGAAAUCAUUUUCUUCUUCGCGUGCUGUCGUGCGAUCGAACGUCGCCGGCGGAGAGCUCCAGCGACCCAGACGCGCCGUCUCGACGGCGCCCCGACCGCGACCCCAGGUCAGGCGGGACUACCCGCUGAGUUUAAGCAUAUCAAUAAGCGGAGGA
This 719-nucleotide ribosomal RNA is filed under the name Cornus macrophylla. RNAcentral's name for it is "eukaryotic LSU rRNA". The stretch from base 273 to 428 matches the Rfam family "5.8S ribosomal RNA". Lineage: Eukaryota; Viridiplantae; Streptophyta; Magnoliopsida; Cornales; Cornaceae. The record is from RNAcentral.